Molecule: long non-coding RNA, 544 nt
Organism: Vidua macroura (Pin-tailed whydah)
Lineage: Eukaryota; Metazoa; Chordata; Aves; Passeriformes; Viduidae
Exons: 3
Source: RefSeq, a predicted model, not a curated record
UUGAAACACAUUGGGGCAGAAGAGAAGAGCAGCCAAGGAGCCUCAAGCACAGGCUUAGUGAGAGGGACAAUAGCUGAGUGGAGCUUCUUCCUGGGAAGUCCUCUUAGAAAUGGAGAAAACAAACACCAGUGCAGUCAUCUGAAGAAACCUUUCCCACAGGAUGAGGCGCCAACGCUUCCUCCUGUCUGUCCUGCAGAGUGAAAAGUGAACAGUGUGAUUUCCUGAGGGACAUUGCCAUCCAUGGAGAGGUUGUGUCAGCCUUGAACAAUUCCUGCUGUAGCAUCUGCAUGGCCAACAAAGCCCAUGUGAUGUCAGAAAGUGAUCCCAUUGUAGACUCUGCUGUGUAACAACAAAAUAUAUAACAGAUCAAAGAGAUUUUAUAAGCUUUGUAGCAACAAAAUAUAUGACACAUUAAAGACAUUUUAUAAGCUUCACUCGAACUUCUAAGUUUUAUAAAGUAAGUUCUCCCAUCCUCUGCCCAAUUGUUUUGCUCUGACAAGUUACAUUUUCCUGCAGUCAUAUUCCAGUAUUUUAACCUGAAACU